This is a long non-coding RNA of Ixodes scapularis (black-legged tick), 496 nucleotides long. RefSeq lists it as uncharacterized. The record is from RefSeq and is a predicted model, not a curated record. Lineage: Eukaryota; Metazoa; Arthropoda; Arachnida; Ixodida; Ixodidae. The transcript is spliced from 3 exons.
UUGGUGGACGAGGUGUCCUGGCAACCACCACUCAAUCUUGACGAUGUUCUGAAACAAUCCAUUGCCGAGUGUGAUUUACCUUGCAAUGAAGAUGUCGGCUGUAACGAAGAUGCACCCUGCAUGCAAGGUCGAAUCAAUUUUGACGAGAUCUAUUUACGUACACCAUGUCCUAGCUCGUCAAAAGAACCUGGUACAUCGAUUAUCAACAGGGUGGCUAUUAAUAACGUAUGCAAGCGAAGAUUAGCAGAAGAAUUAUUUCAAGGUAUCCAUACAGACUCUGAGUUUAAUUUUGACCCUUGAUUACUAAAGAGAGGAUGAACAAGUCUUAUAUUGAAGAUCUAAUCAAAUACGGUUUUGAUAGUAAUGACAGUAUUGACGAUUGUUUAUCACAAUCGUCAAUAUAUGAUACAUUAAUUGACGAUAGCGUCUAUAGUGAUACUUAUUGUGACAAUGCGGACGAUGAUAAUGACAAUACAUCGUAUUAUAAUCGAGUCAA